CCUACGGGUGGCAGCAGUGGGGAAUAUUGCACAAUGGGGGAAACCCUGAUGCAGCGACGCCGCGUGAGCGAUGAAGUAUUUCGGUAUGUAAAGCUCUAUCAGCAGGGAAGAAAAUGACGGUACCUGAGUAAGAAGCCCCGGCUAACUACGUGCCAGCAGCCGCGGUAAUACGUAGGGGGCAAGCGUUAUCCGGAUUUACUGGGUGUAAAGGGAGCGUAGACGGCAUGGCAAGCCUGGAGUGAAAGGCUGGGGCUCAACCCCAGGACUGCAUUUGAAACUGUCAUGCUGGAGUGUCGGAGAGGCAAGCGGAAUUCCUAGUGUAGCGGUGAAAUGCGUAGAUAUUAGGAGGAACACCAGUGGCGAAGGCGGCCUACUGGACGAUGACUGACGUUGAGGCUCGAAAGCGUGGGGAGCAAACAGGAUUAGAUACCCGGGUAGUC
RNAcentral lists this ribosomal RNA (440 nucleotides) under uncultured bacterium. RNAcentral describes it as "partial 16S ribosomal RNA". It matches the Rfam family "Bacterial small subunit ribosomal RNA", at positions 338 to 795 of the family's 1533-position model. The record is from RNAcentral.